UACCAGCACCCCGAGUGGUCGGGACGAUUAUUGGGCCUAAAGCAUCCGUAGCCGGUUUUACAAGUCCCCCGUUAAAUCCAGCUGCUUAACAGAUGGGCUGCGGAGGAUACUAUAGAGCUAGGAGGCGGGAGAGGCAAGCGGUACUUAGUGGGUAGGGGUAAAAUCCGUUGAUCCAUUGAAGACCACCAGUGGCGAAGGCGGCUUGCCAGAACGCGCUCGACGGUGAGGGAUGAAAGCUGGGGGAGCAAACCGG
This 253-nucleotide ribosomal RNA is filed under the name uncultured bacterium. Its description in RNAcentral is "partial 16S ribosomal RNA". It matches the Rfam family "Archaeal small subunit ribosomal RNA", at positions 474 to 727 of the family's 1478-position model. The record is from RNAcentral.